UGCUAGGUGGCUGAGUAAAGGCGGUAGACUGUAGAUCUAUUAACGGAUUUAGAUUUUUCCCCAGCUG
This 67-nucleotide transfer RNA is filed under the name Melo melo. Its description in RNAcentral is "tRNA-Tyr". It matches the Rfam family "tRNA". Rfam says of the family: Transfer RNA (tRNA) molecules are approximately 80 nucleotides in length. Their secondary structure includes four short double-helical elements and three loops (D, anti-codon, and T loops). The record is from RNAcentral. Lineage: Eukaryota; Metazoa; Mollusca; Gastropoda; Neogastropoda; Volutidae.